RNAcentral lists this ribosomal RNA (596 nucleotides) under uncultured Dinobryon. Its description in RNAcentral is "partial Eukaryotic large subunit ribosomal RNA". It matches the Rfam family "Eukaryotic large subunit ribosomal RNA", at positions 851 to 1431 of the family's 3401-position model. Lineage: Eukaryota; Chrysophyceae; Chromulinales. The record is from RNAcentral.
GCCAGAGGAAACUCUGGUGGAGGCUCGUAGCGAUACUGACGUGCAAAUCGUUCGUCGAACUUGGGUAUAGGGGCGAAAGACUAAUCGAACCAUCUAGUAGCUGGUUCCCUCCGAAGUUUCUCUCAGGAUAGCAAGGACAGUUAAAGCAGUUUUAAUUAGGUAAAGAAUAAAUGAUUAGAAGCAUCUGGGAGUUUUUAUUUUGCUCUCGACUUAGUUCUCAAACUCUAAAUAUUUGUAAUAACUCGGUAUUUCUUAAUUGAAGAUCGAGGCAGAAUGCUUGUCCUUAGUGGGCCAUUUUUGGUAAGCAGAACUGGCGAUGAGGGAUGAACCUAACUUUGAGUUAAGGUGCCCAACUGCACGCGCAUCAGAUACCACAAAAGGGUGUGUUGAUUCAUUUAGACAGCAGGACGGUGGCCAUGGAAGUUGGAACCCGCUAAGGACUGUGUAACAACUCACCUGCCGAAUGAAUUAGCCCCGAAAAUUUUGAUGGCUCUCCAGCGUGCGACCGAUACUCAAACAUUGCAACGAAAGUCUGAUUGCAAUGAGUAGGAGGGCGUAGGCGUCUUGUCGAAGCUUUGAGCGUGAGCCUGAGUAGA